Molecule: ribosomal RNA, 497 nt
Filed under: uncultured bacterium
Lineage: Bacteria
Description: partial 16S ribosomal RNA
Rfam family: Bacterial small subunit ribosomal RNA
Source: RNAcentral
GAUGAACGCUGGCGGCGUGCCUAAUACAUGCAAGUCGAGCGAACGGACGAGAAGCUUGCUUCUCUGAUGUUAUCGGCGGACGGGUGAGUAACACGUGGAUAACCUACCUAUAAGACUGGGAUAACUUCGGGAAACCGGAGCUAAUACCGGAUAAUAUUUUGAACCGCAUGGUUCAAAAGUGAAAGACGGUCUUGCUGUCACUUAUAGAUGGAUCCGCGCUGCAUUAGUUAGUUGGUAAGGUAACUGCUUACCAAGGCAACGAUGCAUAGCCGACCUGAGAGGGUGAUUGGCCACACUGGAAGUGAGACACGGUCGACACUCCUACGGGAGGCAGCAGCAGGGAAUCCUACGCAAUGGGGGAAAGGCUGACGGAGCACAGUCGCGUGAGUGAUGAAGGUCUUCGGAUCGUAAAACGCUGUUAUUAGGGAAGAACAUAUGUGUAAGUAACUGUGAACAUCUUGACGGUACCUAAUCAGAAAGCCACGGCUAACUCCGUG